RNAcentral lists this ribosomal RNA (250 nucleotides) under uncultured bacterium. RNAcentral describes it as "partial 16S ribosomal RNA". It matches the Rfam family "Bacterial small subunit ribosomal RNA", at positions 524 to 773 of the family's 1533-position model. The record is from RNAcentral.
AACGUAGGAGGCGAGCGUUAUCCGGAUUUACUGGGCGUAAAGCGCACGCAGGCGGCCCCGACAGUCGGACGUGAAAGCUCCCGGCUUAACUGGGAGAGGCCGUUCGAUACUUCGGGGCUUGAGGUUGGGAGAGGGGUGUGGAAUUCCCGGUGUAGUGGUGGAAUGCGUAGAUAUCGGGAGGAACACCUGUGGCGAAAGCGGCACCCUGGCCCACACCUGACGCUGAGGUGCGAAAGCGUGGGGAGCAAAC